GGGGUUCACAGCAUCAAACAUUUGGAAGAUAUCCAGGAGUUUUAUUGGAGACAAGUAAACAAGAUAUUCAUGAGCAGAACUGAAUAUUAGAGAUAACGGGGCCAACCAGUUUGUGCAGCGCUGAGCGAUCUCAUGAAAAUACAUGGACCCCACAGGUGCAAAAUACAUUCUGGUGUGAGAAACUGAUGUGGUUUAUUGCUUUUUAAGUGAAAGCAUGAAAAAUAAGCACUGUAAUUAUGUAGUUUACAUUGACAUUGACGCUAUUAUUAAGGAAGUCAUGCUAAAAUUUAGACAAAAAGAGCAUCAAAGACUGAAAGUGUAUUUUUAUCACUCACUGAAUACAAAGUGUGAGGAAUUUCUGAGCAAAUCAGCUGUUUGAAAGUUUUAGCAGGUCUGAUAAUAGCUGAUCCCAGCUAUGUACAGAGCCAUGAAUAUAUUACUGUUGCGGUUAUUAGUCUACUUAUUUGCUAUUUUUAUGGAAACUUGUUUCUGCCACUUAUAAAAUAAGUAAAUAAAAAGAUAAAUGCACCUUUAUCUCAUAAUUAUGUCAUUUUUUUUUUUUUUUUUGUAGUGUGAAUUAGUAUUUAGGUUCAGAGCGCACCUUUUCUUUACAAAUGCUAGUUCUCAUGACGUCACGCAAAGGCGCGUGCCUGGUAAAUUAAUCUUUUCAUCCGUCGUAAUAAUUUGUAAAAUUAAACAUAAUAUUUUAACAUUAAAAGAGUAUUAUACAUAUCCAGUUGAUGUUAAGGUCUGUAUGGUAAUUAAUAUGUUUUACAUUUUAUUAGCUUUCUAACUUACACUGCAUGUUAAUAUCCAUUUGUGCACCCGCUGGUUCGCCGUUGCUGGUUUGUGCAUUCGUGUUUGUUGAGCGCGUGUGUGAAAAACCUAACAAUUAACGAGCUGAUUAAAAAUCUCAUACUCGUAUUAAAUAAGCCAAACCCUGGUGCUUAGAGCGAACUUUUGUUUUAUGAUGAUAUGAUGCGGGAGAGAUCUUCAGUUACCAGCUUUCCUGACUGUUGUUAUACGAUCAAGAAUCUUGAAGACGCGGAAAACACUUGUUUUGUCUCCACUCUUAAGGGACAGUGGACCUGCUUCGGGCCAAGUUGGCUGCCAGCCGUCCCAUCACAGCGGAAGCACAGAACCUGGAGGAGGAGACAGGAAACGUGGCCCAGACGCUGAUAAUCGGAGACGCAGCUGUCUCUCUUCAGCUGGAAUUACUUUGGCUUGAAAAGGAACUCAAGGACGUAUAGGGGUGAGAGAUUAAAUGUGCAUUUAUUUGCAUUUGACAGGUGACUGACGAGUGAAAAAGACCGAAUGACCUGAAACUACCUUUGAACAUUUGUAAUAUUUUACUAUUUAAAGCAAUAAAAGGCAGUAUAAAAAGUAUCA
Cyprinus carpio (common carp) is the source of this 1389-nucleotide long non-coding RNA. The record is from Ensembl. NCBI's taxonomy places the organism in Eukaryota, Metazoa, Chordata, Actinopteri, Cypriniformes, Cyprinidae.